GUGCUUGGUUCAGCAGCAUGUAUCCUAAAAUUGGAACCAUACAGAGAAAAUUAGCAUGGCCCCUGCAAAAGGAUGACACACAAAUAUAUAUAGUAUUUUUUCAUAGUU
Molecule: small nuclear RNA, 108 nt
Organism: Notechis scutatus (mainland tiger snake)
Lineage: Eukaryota; Metazoa; Chordata; Lepidosauria; Squamata; Elapidae
Source: Ensembl